This is a long non-coding RNA of Asparagus officinalis (garden asparagus), 1450 nucleotides long. RefSeq lists it as uncharacterized. The record is from RefSeq and is a predicted model, not a curated record. The transcript is spliced from 3 exons. Lineage: Eukaryota; Viridiplantae; Streptophyta; Magnoliopsida; Asparagales; Asparagaceae.
UUUGAGUUUAUGUUUAGUUUUUGCUUCCCUUGCUGGUGAAGGAAUUGCCUCAUGUUCUGAGAGGAUUAUCAUUAAAAUUAUUGACAAUUCCUCCAAAUAUGUGUUCUCAAGGGAGAUGCUGAAAUAUUUAAGAUGGUGCAUUUCAUGGCGGGGGAACCAUGCUAAAUACAAAAUUGUGUAUACUUCAUAGUUUUUUUUAUUAAGCCAAUGAUUGGCAUGAUCUUCAGACAGAGCAUGUUUAGCUGUUAGUGAGAAUACUUGUUGAGAAUCUUGCACAGCUGAUAUUUUGGGGUUUGUUUUUUUAAGGGAGAAGAAGACUGUAGGCAAGAUUGAAUCCUAGAUAUUUUUAAACUGAACAUAGUGUUAAACUCAUUUGAUUGAAAGUGAAAAAGUGAUGGAAAUCAUAUCAGAACAGUAAUUAGUCACAAAAUAGAGGAAAUGGGAGGUGGUCACUUAUGAACAAUGGGAGGUGGUCACUUAUGAACAAUCUAAUCAGAAAAGUGAUGGGGACAUUGUUGAAUACAAGGUCUGUAAGUUUACAGAUAGAGGAAAAUGGGAGGUGGUCACUUAUGAACAAUCUAGUCAGAUGCAGUUCCGUUGCACUUGUGCUUUGUUUGAAACUAAUGGUGUUGUAUGUAGACAUAUGUUAUCGCAAAUGAUGGCUAGGCAAAUGGAUUCAUUACCUGACCAUUAUAUCCUACACCGUUGGACUAUACAUGCUCGACAUCGUAACAUUGGGGUUGGCAACAUUAUAUAUGGAAGAAACAUCACAAGCUGUGAAGAGAAGAUUAACUUAUUGAAAACUUGGGCUUUAAGAGCAAAAUUCAACAAUGCGCUCGAGCUUGCCUUUGCUUCAGAAGAGAAGAUGCAAAAUCUAGAUGAUGUGCUGACAAAAUUUAUAGAACCACUGCAAGAAGAUGUUGGAGCACAUUCCUCAAAUCAAGAUCAAAUGGUGGAUACUCCUCAAAUUUCUGCACACAUCUCACAUACAAUUGAGCACAUUCCUCAGAUUACAGUUCGUGAUCCUGAUAGAGCUGCAAGGACUAAAGGUCGUCCACGUAAUGCAACUAGAAUCCAGUCAGGUUUAGAACAAGCACAAGAAAAGAAAGAAAGGAAGAAACGUAUAUGUAGCAGAUGUGGUGAACUCGGGCAUUAGAAUUAGCUGUAAAGUCAACUUGCCAAGCUAAACGAAAAUUGGUCUGGAUUCUUGAGCACCAAAUGCAUGGAUUUGUGGAAGAUGAAGUUCUCAACAGAAACUGGAAAUGGAAGCUACUUGUUUUGAGUUUAUUUUGUAAUGAAGCUAGUUGGAAAUGUAGACUGCAAAUGUAGUAUUGUUUUGAGUUUAUUUUGUAAUGGAAGCUACUUGGAAAUGUUGACUGGGAAUGGGUUUUGAGUUGUCAGGUGUGCCUCAACAGAAACGGGUUGUCUAUUUUGUUGUCUAUUUUGUUGA